AUAGCGUAUAUUAAAGUUGUUGCAGUUAAAAAGCUCGUAGUUGAACUUCAGGCCUGGCCGGGCGGUCUGCCUAACGGUAUGUACUGUCUGGCUGGGUCUUACCUCUUGGUGAGCCGGCAUGCCCUUCACUGGGUGUGUCGGGGAACCAGGACUUUUACCUUGAGAAAAUUAGAGUGUUCAAAGCAGGCUUAUGCCCGAAUACAUUAGCAUGGAAUAAUAAAAUAGGACGUGCGGUUCUAUUUUGUUGGUUUCUAGAGUCGCCGUAAUGAUUAAUAGGGAUAGUUGGGGGCAUUAGUAUUCCGUUGCUAGAGGUGAAAUUCUUGGAUUUACGGAAGACUAACUACUGCGAAAGCAUUUGCCAAGGAUGUUUUCAUUAAUCAAGAACGAAGGUUAGGGGAUCGAAAACGAUCAGAUACCGUUGUAGUCUUAACAGUAAACUAUGCCGACUAGGGAUCGGGCGAACUUCAAUUUCAUGUGUCGCUCGGCAC
This 488-nucleotide ribosomal RNA is filed under the name uncultured eukaryote. Its description in RNAcentral is "SSU rRNA". It matches the Rfam family "Eukaryotic small subunit ribosomal RNA", at positions 594 to 1086 of the family's 1831-position model. The record is from RNAcentral.